Molecule: ribosomal RNA, 359 nt
Filed under: uncultured Glomeromycotina
Lineage: Eukaryota; Fungi; Glomeromycota
Description: bacterial SSU rRNA
Rfam family: Eukaryotic small subunit ribosomal RNA
Source: RNAcentral
AGCAGCCGCGGUAAUUCCAGCUCCAAUAGCGUAUAUUAAAGUUGUUGCAGUUAAAAAGUUCGUAGUUGAAUUUCGGGAUUUUAGUAGGCUGGUUAUGAACUCGCGCGCUGCAGGUUUAUGUACUGGUCUUACUAAUUCCUCUUUCCUGAUGAACUGUAGUGCCAUUUAAUUUGGUGUUGCAGGGAAUCUGGACUGUUACUUUGAAAAAUUGAGUGUUUAAAGCAGGCUAACGCUUGAAUAAGUUAGCAUGGAAUAAUGAAAUAGGACGUUCGAUCCUAUUUUGUUGGUUUCUAGGAUUGACGUAAUGAUUAAUAGAGAUAGUUGGGGGCAUUAGUAUUCAAUUGUCAGAGGUGAAAUUC